RNAcentral lists this ribosomal RNA (519 nucleotides) under uncultured bacterium. Its description in RNAcentral is "partial 16S ribosomal RNA". It matches the Rfam family "Bacterial small subunit ribosomal RNA", at positions 899 to 1397 of the family's 1533-position model. The record is from RNAcentral.
ACUCAAAUGAAUAGACGGGGACUUGCACAAGCAGUGGAUUAUGUGGUUUAAUUCGACGUCAAACGAAGAACCUCACCAGGGUUAGAAAUUCUAUCGAAGACAUUAGGAAACUAGUGUCGUCUCACAAGGACGGUAGAACAGGUGAUGCAUGGCCGUCGUCAGUUCGUGGUUUGAACUGUUCCCUUCAGUGGGGUAACGAACGCAACCCUCGUUGGCUGUUACAAGUGUCAGCCGAGACUGCCCAGCACUUUGUCUACGAUUCAGUUCGCAGGCAGGGUGCUGGGAGGAAGGCGAGGAUGACGCCAGGUCAGCAUGUCCCUCUGAUAUCCUGGGCUACACACAUAAUACAAUCGCACACACAACGAGACGCAAUGGGGUAACCCGGAGCAAAUCUUUAUAAAAUGUGCGCCAGUUCGGAUUGAGGUCUGCAACUCGACCUCAUGAAGCCGGAAUUGCUAGUAAUCGCGGGUCAGCUAUACCGCGGUGAAUACGUUCUCAAGUCUUGUACACACCGCCCGU